This 233-nucleotide ribosomal RNA is filed under the name uncultured bacterium. RNAcentral's name for it is "partial 16S ribosomal RNA". It matches the Rfam family "Bacterial small subunit ribosomal RNA", at positions 109 to 334 of the family's 1533-position model. The record is from RNAcentral.
AGGAACGCGUAGGUAAUCUACUCUCCGGCGGGGGACAACAUUCCGAAAGGAAUGCUAAUACCGCAUAAGACCACGUUCACUACGGUGAGAGUGGUAAAAGGCGCCUCAAAGCGCCACCAGAGGAUGAGCCUGCGUCCCAUCAGCUUGUUGGUAAGGUAACGGCUUACCAAGGCUAAGACGGGUAGCUGGUCUGAGAGGAUGAUCAGCCACACUGGCACUGGAACACGGGCCAG